Molecule: long non-coding RNA, 2106 nt
Organism: Pocillopora damicornis (cauliflower coral)
Lineage: Eukaryota; Metazoa; Cnidaria; Anthozoa; Scleractinia; Pocilloporidae
Source: RefSeq, a predicted model, not a curated record
UGACUUUAUGAUUCCGCUUACAGAAUGAGUCUAUUUUGAUUAAAAGGAGUUAAUUCGCUUUGAAAUUAAAUUAUAAAUUAAAUUAAGUUAUUUGUUUCAAACCAUGUACGAUUUUUGAUAGGUGUAUGGCUUAACUGAAAAGAGGACUUUCGUUUAUUGACAGUUUAGUAAAUUGGAAUUAGGUCGUUUAUCUAAAAGAAUACUCUGUUGUACCAAUAUUUCAUUUGAGGGAAAAGGUUUCAGUGUAUUUUGGAUAUGUAUAGCAUACAUUUUUCGAUACUUUUAGAACAGCAAAUCAAAAUCAUUGAAGUAAUAUAUAUAUGUAUAGUUAAAAGUUUAAAAAACAAGAUUUUAUUGUAUUUGUUGCCCUUAGUAUUUGAGACGAACACUUGUAGGGACGUGAGGAUGGUUGGUAAUGAAUGGGAUCGGAAAAAAUGAAACGACGUGACAAGGCAGUAACUGCCUAGGAUCGAGAGUCGUCUAUUUGGGUUCGAGGAGGGUCGGGAGGGGCUGUUAGGAGCAAAAAAAAAACAAGGGACCAGUUUGAGACAAGGGUGAAGAUCCAGCAAUGUAUACAGCGUUAAGGAGUUUAUGGUGGCGGCCAUUUUGGGUAGUCGUCGAAAACGCUUCUAAAUGACAAACAAGCACCGUCCCCGCUUCUAUUAUUGAGACCAUCCCAAUAGAAAUUUUAUGAUCCUAUAGCCUUGUUUCUCAGUGGGUGGACUCUCCAGCCAGAUGUUCGGCCGAUGGGUUCGAGUUACAAUUUACUAGAAAUACCAACAUUCCCUUGAAACUGGGAUAUCGUUGUAUUGCGUGAAAUAUUAUCAAAAGAUUUCAUUUACUGGAAACAGAAUAUCCAUCUUCUUGUCACAACAGACGCAGAAUUAUUUUGCAAGCUACCUCAUGUUUGCUUUUAAACUCUUUCCGAUGCCUGUCAGACCGAUUGGGAAAGAUUUGAUUAGUCGCAUGAAAUGUUCAUUACCAUAUUCAUGACGCGGAUGACCCAAAAUUUCUUGAACAAGUCAAACCAUAUUUAAUCAAAACAUAAAUAGUUGAGUCACCUGGGAUUCCGUAAUCUCGCAUUUCUACGUCAACAGUUCCAAGAAGGGGCAACAUUCCUGUGUAACUCAAUUAUCACGAAGCGUGAUCGACUUCUUACUCAGGCUCGCAGUAUCCAUAAAUUACCAUUUCACCAAACUUAAAAAAUUUAAGUCGACUCAUGAUACAGUUAUUCUUUGGACGAGUAAGAGUUACAAGUUACGUCGACGACCUUCUCAGUGGUCUGAGAACUCAAUCGUCCUCGUUCACUGGAGAUUUUUUCGACUGGCUAAAGAGUAUUUAAGUAGAAUGCCCAAGUUAGAGUCGGCUGAGCUUCUUCACUUAAGGAAAACAAACGUUGGCCACAAAGUGAAUAUUCCCCACGCCUCAGUGUUUCGAUUCACCAACAUCUUCAUCGAUGAAAGCAAGCGUUUCAUGCCUGGAGCAUAUCUACAAAAUUAUCGCGGUGUCCCUUUGUGGUUUUCAGUUAUUGUAGCUGUGUUGAGUUUCGGAGGAGCUGCAACGCUCACUGGAGCGAUUAUUUUCCUGAUCUUUGGUUUUCCUUUCAUCGCCAUCUAUUGGCAAAACGAACAGGGAACGACACAGUCGACGUUUAUAACAUAGUGCAAGAACCUCGAUGAAUAUAGCUACGGAAAAACGAAGAUAAACUCCGUUUUGAGAAACUAAACUGAAGAUAGCAUUAACAUACUCUUGUCAAACGUUUUCCACAUAGAACAAACCUAUAUCAUACCCUCUCAGAAAAUUCUCAGAAAAAUGCUUAUCUAAAGGCAAAAUACUGUCAAAUGCUGUACAAGAUAAACUCAACAAGCGCUUUAGUAAGAAGAAUCCCAUCCAUCAAAUGAAUUUGUAUUUGGUUUUCGCUUCCUUGCGAUUACGAAAGAUACUGACAUAAAAUGAAAACAGGCCAAGUACAGAAUCAAUUUGAUCUUAGCUUUUGUACUUGAUAGUCACCUAAGAUUUGUGCUGUUACUCAAUUUGCUACCAGUCUUUAGGAAUGUAUUUUAAGGCUGCGUCAUGUGAGUACAAUAAAAGUUCCUUUUAAGAGCC